RNAcentral lists this ribosomal RNA (594 nucleotides) under uncultured crenarchaeote. Its description in RNAcentral is "bacterial SSU rRNA". It matches the Rfam family "Archaeal small subunit ribosomal RNA", at positions 83 to 662 of the family's 1478-position model. The record is from RNAcentral. Lineage: Archaea; Thermoproteati; Thermoproteota.
CGGCUCAGUUAACACGUAGUCAACCUGCCCUGGAGACAAGGACAACCCCGGGAAACUGGGAUUAAUCCUUGAUAGGUCAUCUCAUCUGGAAGGAGAGAUGGCUUAAAGGGGUACGCGGGCUUCUUCCGCGAAUCUGCUCCAGGAUGGGACUGCGUCCGAUCAGGCUGUUGGCGGGGUAAUGGCCCACCAAACCUGUAACCGGUACGGGCCUUGAGAGAGGUGGCCCGGAGAUGGACACUGAGAGAAGGGUCCAGGUCCUACGGGGCGCAGCAGGCGCGAAACCUUCGCAAUGCGCGAAAGCGUGACGAGGUUAAUCCGAGUGACUCCCGCUGAGGGGGUCUUUUGUCAGCUGUAAAUAGGCAGGCGAAUAAGGGGAGGGCAAGCCUGGUGUCAGCCGCCGCGGUAAUACCAGCUCCUCGAGUGGUCGGGGCGAUUAUUGGGCCUAAAGCAUCCGUAGCCGGUUCCGUAGGUCCUCUGUUAAAUCCAACCGCUUAACGGUUGACCUGCAGAGGAUACCGCGGGACUAGGAGGCGGGAGAGGCGGACGGUACUCCGCGUGUAGGGGUAAAAUCCUUUGAUCCGCGGAAGACCACCA